ACAUACAUGUAUAGCUUUUGAACAACAUGUAAAAUUUUGAUCAAAUUACUGCUUCAUCAAAUAACAAUGUUACAAUGUAAUUAUCAAACUCAAUUUGUCAUGUCAUGGCAUGAACAAAAAAUCUUCUUGAACACUUGAAAACACAGCACGCACGCACACGCACACUUCACACAUUCAAAAUCACCAGUAAACAAAGCUUUUGUUUCAACUUUCAGAACAAGGGAAGCCACAUGAAUGUGGGCGAGUAGCACUUGUGGUGUCUAAUUGACUCCCGCCUCUGAUCCCCCUGACACACCGGGGCCUCUCGGUCGAAUCUCGACAUGCUGCAAGAGUAAUGAGCGGCACGGUGAGUUCUCUAGCUACACAACUGUAACUCUGUAAGUAUUGUACAGUAGAAAACACUGUCGAAUUGUGUUUUCCCGCCUUCCGGGUAAAAUGUGAACAUACCUCCUGCACGGCCGGCGCCGGCGCCGACUUGGUGGUCUCCUCCCUGACCCCGGCGCGGCCGCAGCCGGCGACACGGUCGACGAGGCCGAAAAACCUAUCCUUGAGCUGGGCGGCGAAGUUGGCCAUGGUGGUGGAGGUGGAGCUAGCCGAAGUGAACAGAGUGCACCUGCACGCUGCUACUCUCUCGUCAAUCUGAACCACGCAGGUAGCUGUAGUGCUUGAUUUUGGUGGGGUGAGAGCGGUGUG
RNAcentral lists this long non-coding RNA (693 nucleotides) under Triticum aestivum (bread wheat). RNAcentral describes it as "long non-coding RNA (TAES_LNC024794)". The record is from RNAcentral. Lineage: Eukaryota; Viridiplantae; Streptophyta; Magnoliopsida; Poales; Poaceae.